UGACCGUACUAAGGUAGCAUAAUAAUUUGCCUUUUAAUUGGAGGCUAGUAUGAAUGGCUUGACGUGAAAUAUACUGUCUCAACUAUAUUUAGUAGAAUUUAACCUUUAGGUGAAGAGGCCUAAAUUUUGUGGGAAGACAAGAAGACCCUAUUGAGCUUUAAAUAUUUAUGUUAGUGGGAACCUAAGAUUUAUAUGAUGGUCAUUACUUCUAAGUAUGUUGGUUGGGGCGACCGAGGAGUAUAAAGUAACCUCCUUGUAAUGUAAAGAAUUUGUUAUCAACGAACCUGUAAUAUAGGUUAUUCGGUAGUUACCAUAGGGAUAACAGCGUAAUUCUUUUGAAGAGUUCAUAUCGAAGAAAGAGAUUGCGACCUCGAUGUUGGAUUAAGGUGUCCUAAGGG
This 398-nucleotide ribosomal RNA is filed under the name Nautilus pompilius. RNAcentral describes it as "partial 16S ribosomal RNA". It matches the Rfam family "Bacterial large subunit ribosomal RNA", at positions 1943 to 2553 of the family's 2925-position model. Lineage: Eukaryota; Metazoa; Mollusca; Cephalopoda; Nautilida; Nautilidae. The record is from RNAcentral.